This is an RNA transcript of Helianthus annuus (common sunflower), 1109 nucleotides long. RefSeq lists it as uncharacterized. The transcript has 4 exons. The record is from RefSeq and is a predicted model, not a curated record. Lineage: Eukaryota; Viridiplantae; Streptophyta; Magnoliopsida; Asterales; Asteraceae.
AUAGGAUUUUUUUGGCUCGACUAGAGAGUGAUGUGUCAGAUUAAGAUAACUAAUACGUAUAUGUAAGGAUGUAUUUACAAAUUAAACUUCCAAAAAGUCAAACGGAGUGAAAUAAAAAUUAAGAAGGCAAGUGAUAGAAAAAUAGAAAGAAAAUUUUUGCCCCCCCUAAAUAAGUGAGUAUAACCGUUGAAAAUGGUUGUUGUAGCGAAAUUUAGUUGGAAGAAAGAAACUUUGAAACAUGUUACGUAUUAUACAUAUUACUAAAUGACUCUUGAGGGUAAGAAUGAAUGACGGGUUACGACUUAGACAAUAACUUAAGAGUGGAUGGGAAGGGUAGGUUUUGACAAGGAUACUGAAAUAAUGUAAUGCAGUCUUUACAAGUAUGCAUGAAUGGAAAAAAAGGAUGAACGUGUACUUCGAUACGUUUGCGAUAAGUAAGAAGUGCCAGUUUGACCUGCAAAGGUUGAUGAAAUAACCAAUAAAAUGAAAAGACUGUAUGCAAGAAAUGGAAUGCGAUAUGUUUAAAACAUAUACGAAUGAUGAAAUUAUUAGUAUAAUGAUAGUAAUAAAGCUGUUGGAAGGAUGCUCACGAGUGAGAGCAUAUUUCACGAAUGAAUGAGACCAAAUUCUGGUACGGAAGGUACCUGUAAAGAAGCGGAACGAUCCGGCUCCCGGAUCACUGAUCUACGCAAUGAAGGCGAGGUACAUGCCAUUCUGGGCGCGAACUUGGUAGGCAACGGGACGGACAUAUGGAAUACGUAUCAACUACUUACGGGUCAAGGUAUAAUGGGAACUAGAGGUUCGCGGACUGAUGAAUGGAACAAGGUUUGGUGACAAAUCUGAGAUCGAGUAAGCAAUGUCAGUUCAUCCAUCCGUCAGGUUAUAUCGCCGACUUAGACGGGUCGUCAUGUUUUACUUGCCUUUUACGGCAUUCGGUAGUUUUAAAUCGUGUAAGCUUCAUGAGUCAGACGUAGUGUCUUGUUUUGUUUAUGUUCAAGUUUAGAGUUGUAAAAUGGAUUGUAAACAGGUUUUGUUACCGUAACGGUUAUCCGUAAUACGAACGGGUCAUGCCGAAAUUUUAUAAAAAUUGGAAUGGAAUAUGUAAGUUU